Molecule: ribosomal RNA, 521 nt
Filed under: Conus rattus
Lineage: Eukaryota; Metazoa; Mollusca; Gastropoda; Neogastropoda; Conidae
Description: partial 12S ribosomal RNA
Rfam family: Bacterial small subunit ribosomal RNA
Source: RNAcentral
GGUUAAAUGACAGUUAGGCAGAGGUCAAAUGCCGCAAGACCGUUAGUAGAGGAGUAAAAUCUAAAUACUAGCAGUUAUAUCGAAGGCGGCCUGUUUAAAAUGUCGAGGCUGUGAAAGCUUUAAGGGAAACUGGGAUUGGAUACCCCACUAUUUUUAGCUAUAAAUUUAUUGUUAAUAUACCAGAGUACUACGAAUAAAAAGUUUAAAACUCAAAGGGCUUGGCGGUGUUUUAGACCUCUCAGGGGAACCUGUCUCAUAAUCGACAAUCCGCGUCAAACCUAACCUUUUAUAGUAAUUCAGCUUGUAUACCGUCGUCGCCAGGUAACUUCUUAAAAUAUAGUAGUUAGCUAGAAAAUUACAUUAAUUAAAACGUCAGAUCAAGGUGCAGCCAAUGAAAAGGGGAGGAUGGGUUACAAUUAUAAAUUUAUAAUCACGGAAAGAGCUUGAAAUAAAGCGACUUAAAGGAGGACUUGAAAGUAAUUUUAAUUACAUAAAUGGAAUGAAUGUGGCUCUGAAACGUG